UUUUAAAAAGCUUCAAACUGGGAUUAGAUACCCCACUAUGCUCAGCCAUAAACCUAGACAUCCAGCUACAAUUAGAUGUCCGCCCGGGUACUACGAGCAUCAGCUUGAAACCCAAAGGACCUGACGGUGCCUCAGACCCCCCUAGAGGAGCCUGUUCUAGAACCGAUAACCCCCGUUAAACCUCACCACUUCUAGCCAUCCCAGCCUAUAUACCGCCGUCGUCAGCUUACCCUGUGAAGGCAAUAAAAGUAAGCAAAAUGGGCACAACCCAGAACGUCAGGUCGAGGUGUAGCGUACGAAGUGGGAAGAAAUGGGCUACAUUUUCUAUCACAGAACACUACGAAUAUGCAACAUGAAAUAGUGCUUGAAGGAGGAUUUAGUAGUAAAAAGGAAGCAGAGUGUCCUUUUGAACCCGGCUCUGAGGCGCGUACACACCGCCCGUCACCAUCCUGCAGUCAAAA
This 461-nucleotide ribosomal RNA is filed under the name Pseudolaubuca sinensis. Its description in RNAcentral is "partial 12S ribosomal RNA". It matches the Rfam family "Bacterial small subunit ribosomal RNA", at positions 750 to 1416 of the family's 1533-position model. The record is from RNAcentral. Lineage: Eukaryota; Metazoa; Chordata; Actinopteri; Cypriniformes; Xenocyprididae.